UAUCAGAGAUGCACCUUACCUGGUGAAUCUGUAUGUGAAGCUAGUUGAGCCCCAGAAAGGGAGUGCAACAACAGAAGCCUCGAGCAGGAAGAAGGCCCUGCUGGACAAGCAGCUGGAGUGAGAAUCAAAACAACAGGAUCACAGGGACAGACUCUCCACAAUCCAUGUGACAUUGGGAGAGGCCUUCUGUCUUCCCCAUCACAGGGAGGAGGCGGAGCAUUCUCUCAGAAGCAUUCUUGGUGGAGGGACUGCAUUUCAGGAGGCUGCAGCUGACAAAAAGCUUCAAGUGGACAUUUUCCUGGACCUGAUCAAGUGUGUAGCCUAAUUUCUGUGUUGGCUACAGCCCUGCAUGUGUCCUCGCAACUCAUUCUUUCAAAUCACA
Long non-coding RNA from Myotis daubentonii (Daubenton's bat), 382 nucleotides. RefSeq lists it as uncharacterized. The transcript is spliced from 3 exons. Lineage: Eukaryota; Metazoa; Chordata; Mammalia; Chiroptera; Vespertilionidae. The record is from RefSeq and is a predicted model, not a curated record.